Molecule: long non-coding RNA, 1051 nt
Organism: Ctenopharyngodon idella (grass carp)
Lineage: Eukaryota; Metazoa; Chordata; Actinopteri; Cypriniformes; Xenocyprididae
Exons: 2
Source: RefSeq, a predicted model, not a curated record
ACUCAUUGAAGCAAAGCACGAGAGAUCACUUCCGUCAUCGGAACGCAUCUUUUGACCUCACUAACCGGAUGCUGAACACAGUUGGACAUAGUGGUGUAUUAGAGAUUGUGUUACCAUUUCAAUGCAUUAUUUGAGCGACAGACGGCAACAGUUGGAGUUAAAAAUCAUCAUUUGUGUUCUACUGAAGAAACAAAGUCACCUACAUCUUGGAUGCCCUGGGGGUAAGCAGAUAAACAUCAAAUUUUCAUUUUUGGGUAAACUAUCCCUUUAAGGCAACUCAGUAGCAACAAAACUGCUGUGAAAUAUGGCACAAUGAGCUAUGAAGAAAAAAAAAAAAAGAAAAAAGAAAAAGAAAAAAAAGAAUAAAUAAAACAGACGAUUUCUGAAUUUCAUUUUGUACCUUCAAAUGAUGCUCGUCGUUCUUUAGCCAAGCCUCUCUGUAUAGUUUUGAUUCUCCAUGCCAAGUACCCAGUGCCACUCUCACCGUCAUAGUAAUGCUCCUUGAAUAACAAAAAUACAGAAAAAAAAAAAAAAAAAAAAAAAGUGUUAAAUCAAUAGCAAAAUUCACCACCUGUAUUAUGGGUGUGUGAUCAACAUUUAAGACAUGUCAACAUAGAAAUAAAAUUCAAAAAUAGUGUGAUACUUACAUAGCCAUUUUUAGAGAAGGGGUCACUGAGGUAAGGGAACAAAGCCACAAUUCCUCUGGCGUAUUUUUCUUUAACCUGCCGUGGUGGUGAUGUACUGUAUAAUUAUUUAAAAAAAAAAAAAAAAAAAAAAAAAAAAAAACCACCCAUCUUUAGCCCAGGUUCAAAAAGCAAAAGAUGAUAGAACUACAGUGAGAGAUCAUAUAUACACCAGUUAAUUAUAUGCAGAUUACCCAUUCUUUUCUGUCAUGUCAGCUGCCAGGAUGUUCACCAUUUUCCUUCUCGUUUCAUCCCCCAAAGUUUUAGUUCGGUUGUAUUCAUUUAUUACACGCUCCCCACCAGGUUUCUGGACAAGAAUGGAUUCCACCAACUUCAUAAUUAAAAAAAAAAAAAAAAGAAAGAAAUAA